Molecule: small nucleolar RNA, 50 nt
Filed under: Pyrobaculum calidifontis JCM 11548
Lineage: Archaea; Thermoproteati; Thermoproteota; Thermoprotei; Thermoproteales; Thermoproteaceae
Description: PCAsR123
Source: RNAcentral
GUGAUGAGCUGUCCCUUAGCAGACCAGUGACGAGUUACGCCACAGGCUGA